RNAcentral lists this ribosomal RNA (253 nucleotides) under uncultured bacterium. Its description in RNAcentral is "partial 16S ribosomal RNA". It matches the Rfam family "Bacterial small subunit ribosomal RNA", at positions 524 to 776 of the family's 1533-position model. The record is from RNAcentral.
GACGAACCGAGCGAGCGUUGUUCGGAAUCACUGGGCUUAAAGGGCGCGUAGGCGGGCUGUCAAGUCUGGGGUGAAAUCCCACGGCUCAACCGUGGAACUGCCUUAGAUACUGACGGCCUCGAGGGAGAUAGGGGCGAGCGGAACUGUGAGUGGAGCGGUGAAAUGCGUUGAUAUUCACAGGAACUCCGGUGGCGAAGGCGGCUCGCUGGAUCUUUUCUGACGCUGAGGCGCGAAAGCUAGGGGAGCAAACGGG